CCUCUUCUCCUCCCACUCACUCCCAGGGCUGGCUUGCUCUCCUGGAGGCUGCAAGGGGUCUGGCCCUUCUCACUGGCCUUCCUGGCCAGGCAGAGGCUGACACCCAAGGUCAAGUGGUCUAGGUCACUGGAGGAGCAGCCUGAGCUUUCCUGAGUGACUUCCUCCUAAGGCCAGAGCUAGCCGGGAGAUGACAUUGCCUUUGCUGUGAUGACAUAUGACUAAAUCAAGGUGCCUAGAGAUGUGACCAAAGAGGAGCAGGUGCUGGAGCCCCACCUCUGGCUUGCUAGCUCAUAUUCCGCUGUAAUUAAGCCUCGGAUCCUCUCUACCAAAUGAUGAUGUCUCAAAGAAUGAACAAUGUUACCUUAGAAGAGGAACCAUGAGGUCAAAGGCUUCUGGGGCCACCUCUGUGCUGAAGCAAGGACAGGGAGUGAGGAGCCCCGGCCUGGGCACCCCUGGAGACCGGCUGGGCCCCAGCAGCUAGGAGA
Molecule: non-coding RNA, 485 nt
Organism: Macaca mulatta (Rhesus monkey)
Lineage: Eukaryota; Metazoa; Chordata; Mammalia; Primates; Cercopithecidae
Source: RefSeq, a predicted model, not a curated record